Solea solea (common sole) is the source of this 961-nucleotide long non-coding RNA. RefSeq lists it as uncharacterized. Lineage: Eukaryota; Metazoa; Chordata; Actinopteri; Pleuronectiformes; Soleidae. The record is from RefSeq and is a predicted model, not a curated record. The transcript is spliced from 4 exons.
UCCAGCGGCUGUCCGUUGUCGUGACUGUCGACCACGGCCCUUCUUCUGUGCUGACUGUGAUGUCAGCAUGCACGUCAGACAUGUCCUCCACAACAGGGAUGCAAUGACUGCUGGAUUCAUCCAGCCAUUACCUCCAACAUCUCUUGUUGUGGAUAAGGCCCUUUCCCAUUGUGCUACGUGCUGUUGUGUUACUGUCAAACACAUUCAAUUCAACAUCUUUCGAGUACCUUUUCAGCAACAUACUUCAUGGCCAUGAAGUCUUUCAUUUUCAUUUUCUCAUGUAAAGUUUGUGCUCCAGUCAUUCCAGAAUUCUAUGUCAUAUUACAAUGUCAAUAGAAAUGAUCUUAAUUCACUUGUGUGAUCUUUUACAGUACGGUUUGUACCUGUGGAGACGCCUGACCAGAAUUAUUAAAGGUCAACCCAGGAAAGGAUGUUACUGUGGUCACAAUGAAUGACUGGGAAGAUCUCUGCAGACAGCUUCCAAAAAAGUUUUUUUGAGUGGGAAGCUGUGCAACAUCUGCAAAGAGGAGCCCUUCAUCUGUCCUGCGUGCACCCCAAAUAUGCUUGCAGUUUCCGUGGAUGGAAAUCGCAAGCAUUACCGGUUCAAGAAUGCAUCUAGAUCCGAGGAACAGGCCAUUUUUCAAGGCGUCUUCAUAGCCAAGGAUGAAGACGUUGCCACAUUUGUGGACCACAUACACAGGACAUCCAAACAUGUCUCUGGAAGAGGUGUUUGUGGAGGGGAGUGGUCAGCAGCUAGAGAGACCUCCCAAAGAUCCACCAGCAAGGUAGAUGAGGAGGGACUGGAGCUUGCGGUGUGUAGGCAUGGUGUUCUGCUGCGUGCUCUCAAUAUGUACAGGGGAGAAAUGUUUGCUUAUCCCCUGUAUUUGCAAGAAAAGCUUGCCAGCAGGCAAAUCACUUUCUUCUGUAUGGAUGUGACCUGCAAGUAUUGGCCCUACCUCCA